GUUUUCGUGGCCUAGUGGUUAGGGCGUCUGUCUUACAUCUGAGUAUCAGGAAAUCAUUCCUUCUUACCUGUUGAUCACAGAAGAUCCCCGGUUCAAUCCCGGGCGGAAACA
Non-coding RNA from Nemania sp. FL0916, 111 nucleotides. The record is from the annotation of a GenBank genome assembly. NCBI's taxonomy places the organism in Eukaryota, Fungi, Ascomycota, Sordariomycetes, Xylariales, Xylariaceae.